Molecule: ribosomal RNA, 253 nt
Filed under: uncultured bacterium
Lineage: Bacteria
Description: partial 16S ribosomal RNA
Rfam family: Bacterial small subunit ribosomal RNA
Source: RNAcentral
UACAGAGGGUGCAGGCGUUAAUCGGAAUUACUGGGCGUAAAGCGCGCGUAGGUGGUUUGUUAAGUUGGAUGUGAAAUCCCCGGGCUCAACCUGGGAACUGCAUUCAAAACUGACAAGCUAGAGUAUGGUAGAGGGUGGUGGAAUUUCCUGUGUAGCGGUGAAAUGCGUAGAUAUAGGAAGGAACACCAGUGGCGAAGGCGACCACCUGGGCUGAUACUGACACUGAGGUGCGAAGGCGUGGGGAGCAAACAGG